GAUGAACGCUAGCGGCAGGCCUAAUACAUGCAAGUCGAACGGUGUCUUCGGACAUAGUGGCGCACGGGUGCGUAACACGUAUGCAACCUACCUUACAUUGGGGGAUAGCCUUUCGAAAGGGAGAUUAAUACCGCAUAAGACAGUAGCUGGGCAUCCAGCAGCUGUUAAAGAUUUAUCGAUGGGGGAGCGCCUGCGUCCUAUCAGUUAGUUGGUGAGGUAAUGGCUCACCAAGACUAUGACGGGUAGCUGGUCUGAGAGGAUGACCAGCCAGAGGGAAACUGAGACACGGUUCCCACUCCUACGGGAGCAGCAGUAAAGAAUCUUCCGCAAUGGACGAAAGUCUGACGGAGCGACGCCGCGUGCAGGAUGAAGGCCUUCGGGUUGUAAACUGCUUUCUG
RNAcentral lists this ribosomal RNA (398 nucleotides) under uncultured bacterium. RNAcentral's name for it is "bacterial SSU rRNA". It matches the Rfam family "Bacterial small subunit ribosomal RNA", at positions 28 to 439 of the family's 1533-position model. The record is from RNAcentral.